CAAUGCAGACGCUUAUUUAGGAGCCCUAGGAUUUUAUUCCGGGCCAAUCGGCAGUUGUAGGAUCGAUCCCGGACGAUGGACGCUUAUUUUCGAGAGGCGGCGCAACGUUUUGCGUCUAGCGCUUCCUCAGAUUAUUUCUUACUCCACAAAAAACGGAUCUACCAGUUAAGAGAAAUAGGCGCCUGAUAUUUGAGAGAAGCCUUGGAGUGGCUGGACUCUUUCCUGAACGCUAGGAUUAAUUGAUCAAUUGUUUUUCACUCAAGCCUCUAUACAAGCGUUCCGCGCUGACAUGCCCUUAAUGUCACCGCUAUUUUUUCAUAUUGUGAAGCAUUUCUAAGAUUAGUAUUGUGCAUAGCUUGCAGCAGGGAUUCAAGCUAUGGCCUCUGUGUUGGACUCACGACUGGAAGAACAUUGCGGUGGGGCAUGGCGGAUGACCUCACCGACGCGGCUCUCUUUGGGCAAUGCAUCUCACGAGCCAGGAUCAGAUUGUGUCGUGCUGUCUGCCGCCCGAACGUACUAACGGUGUAUGAGGCGUGGAAUCAACUGGAGAAGCUAGGUUGUCGUUCGCCUUCAUCGGUCCUCAUGCUGCCAACCACCGCCCAAGGUUGCCGCCGCUUCAGGGGCGGAGCUGGAGGAAAUUCUUCCCUGAUGCAUGUUUAACCUUGCAACUUUGCUACAAGUUGAAACUGUUCCUCCAUGAUGCACUUUUUUAAGUUUAACCUGAUGCACUUACCUAUUAAUCCCAUAAAUAAUGCUAAAUUUUUCUUUUCACCCUGAUGCAUGUGCAUCAGGGUCACUCCAAACAGCUCCGCCCCUACCGCCGCCAUGCCGUGACGCUGAACGCGCACAACUUGCUGUGACAUGAGGCCAUGGUGGUCGCAGCAAGAGAGAGAGAGAGUUCAGGCGGCAAACAAGAAGAAGCUCAGCACCCUUGUCACGCUAACAGUUUGUAUGAUUUCUAGAGAAAGAAAUGGCCAGUGUCUUCAGGAACGAACACAAACAUAUUCAGCACAUUAUCACUCAGAUAGAAAACUGACGCUAUGCAUUGGACUUGAACCAGAGCAAGCGAUGGUUGUUUUGUUCUGCUA
Molecule: non-coding RNA, 1088 nt
Organism: Lolium perenne
Lineage: Eukaryota; Viridiplantae; Streptophyta; Magnoliopsida; Poales; Poaceae
Source: RefSeq, a predicted model, not a curated record